This 205-nucleotide small nucleolar RNA is filed under the name Catagonus wagneri (Chacoan peccary). Its description in RNAcentral is "Small nucleolar RNA U3 (ENSCWAG00000001986.1)". It matches the Rfam family "Small nucleolar RNA U3". From Rfam's summary of the family: Small nucleolar RNAs (snoRNAs) are involved in the processing and modification of rRNA in the nucleolus. There are two main classes of snoRNAs: the box C/D class, and the box H/ACA class. Lineage: Eukaryota; Metazoa; Chordata; Mammalia; Artiodactyla; Tayassuidae. The record is from RNAcentral.
CAGACUAUACUUUCAGGGGUCAUUUCUAUAGUUCAUUACUAGAGAAGUUUCUCUGAAUGUGUAGAGCACCCAAAACGCGAGGAGGAAAUGCAGUGCUCUGUCAUGACUGUGACACCAGCUCUUGGUGGUGCUUCUGCAACAGCCACUUGCCAUUGAUGAUCAUUCUUCUCUUCCUUUGGGAGAGUAAUAGGGAGAGAAUUUUAAU